RNAcentral lists this ribosomal RNA (292 nucleotides) under uncultured Planctomycetota bacterium. RNAcentral's name for it is "uncultured planctomycete partial 16S ribosomal RNA". The record is from RNAcentral. Lineage: Bacteria; Pseudomonadati; Planctomycetota.
GGACUACAAGGGUUUCUAAUCCCGUUUGCUCCCCUGGCUUUCGCGCCUCAGCGUCAGAAGAGGUCCAGCGGGUCGCUUUCGCCACCGGCGUUCCUUCCGAUAUCAACGCAUUUCACCGCUCCACCGGAAGUUCCACCCGCCCCUACCUCGCUCGAGACAGCCAGUAUCCAAGGCUAUUUUCCGGUUAAGCCGAAAGAUUUCACCCCGGACUUGGCUGCCCGCCUACGCGCCCUUUAAGCCCAGUGAUUCCGAACAACGUUAGGACGGUUCGUCUUACCGCGGCUGCUGGCAC